GGGGAAUUUUGGACAAUGGGCGCAAGCCUGAUCCAGCCAUGCCGCGUGUCUGAAGAAGGCCUUCGGGUUGUAAAGGACUUUUGUCAGGGAAGAAAGGGCUGUCGCUAAUACCGACAGUUGAUGACGGUACCUGAAGAAUAAGCACCGGCUAACUACGUGCCAGCAGCCGCGGUAAUACGUAGGGUGCGAGCGUUAAUCGGAAUUACUGGGCGUAAAGCGAGCGCAGACGGUUACUUAAGCAGGAUGUGAAAUCCCCGGGCUCAACCUGGGAACUGCGUUCUGAACUGGGUGACUAGAGUGUGUCAGAGGGAGGUAGAAUUCCACGUGUAGCAGUGAAAUGCGUAGAGAUGUGGAGGAAUACCGAUGGCGAAGGCAGCCUCCUGGGAUAACACUGACGUUCAUGCUCGAAAGCGUGGGUAGCAAACAGGAUUAGAUACCCUGGUAGUCCACGCCCUAAACGAUGUCAAUUAGCUGUUGGGCAACUUGAUUGCUUAGUAGCGUAGCUAACGCGUGAAAUUGACCGCCUGGGGAGUACGGUCGCAAGAUUA
This 548-nucleotide ribosomal RNA is filed under the name uncultured bacterium. Its description in RNAcentral is "bacterial SSU rRNA". It matches the Rfam family "Bacterial small subunit ribosomal RNA", at positions 356 to 896 of the family's 1533-position model. The record is from RNAcentral.